This 295-nucleotide signal recognition particle RNA is filed under the name Marchantia polymorpha subsp. ruderalis. RNAcentral describes it as "Metazoan signal recognition particle RNA". It matches the Rfam family "Metazoan signal recognition particle RNA". From Rfam's summary of the family: The signal recognition particle (SRP) is a universally conserved ribonucleoprotein. It is involved in the co-translational targeting of proteins to membranes. Lineage: Eukaryota; Viridiplantae; Streptophyta; Marchantiopsida; Marchantiales; Marchantiaceae. The record is from Rfam by way of RNAcentral.
UGUGGGCAGUGUUGCGGCUGUCUGUAACCCGAGCGGGAUAAGGAGAGAUGGAAGCUGGUGCUCCUUCAGAGGACCGCUGGGAUCAUGUCGAAGUUACUUCCACUUGGAGCGUGGAGUUUCUGAUAUGGACUCCCUCGCGGAAGCGAGAGGAGUCUGGGGAGUUGAUGAGGAAGGCACAGCAUUAGGCAGGUGACCGAGCAGCGAACCCUUUCCGCUCAGCGCAGUCAAGGGUCAGCGUACUGGAGUGCUUACCAGCUAUCAUCCAGCGUGUGCAGCUCCUGCGACCUCCCUCUUU